UGACUACUGGAACAGGAAGAGAGAGCCCAAUGGAAGAGAGAGCCCAAUGUCCCUGAGGGAGCCUAAAGGAGAUGGGGUGGCCGUCCAGACUCACGGGAAAGAAAGGCUGGAGAGGCUGGGACACCUGGCUUUGUCAAUAGGAAAAAAAAAUCCAUUCCCCACCUUGCCCCCCACACAGAAUACAUCUGAGAUGCACUUACAUGAAUGUGUAAAGUGUAUUUAAAAAGGAACAACUUAAAAAGUCUUAGAACAAAAUACAGGCCAGUAACUUCAUGAGCUUAGGAUAGGAAAAGAUUGCUUAAAUAACACAAAACACCACAAAAUAGGGUGCGCAUGGUGGCUCAUGCCUAUAAUCCCAGCACUCAUUCCAUGGGCUAAGGCAAGUAGAUUGCCUGAGGUCAGGAGUUUGAGACCAGCCUGGCCAACAUGGCAAGACCCCAUCUCUACAAAAAAUACAAAAAUUAGCUGGGUAUAGUGGCGCAUGCCUGUAAUCCCAGCUACUCAGGAGGCUGAGGCCCCAGAAUCGCUUGAAGCUGGGAGGCGUGGGUUGCAGUGAGCCAAGAUCAUGCCACUGCACUCCAGCCUGGGCAACAGGUUGAGACCUUGUCUCAAAACACAAACAAACAACACAAAAACAAACACAAAAUGCAUAGAUUUGACUGCAUCAAAACUAAAAGCUUUAUUAUGACACACUGCCCCCCCACACACACCCUACAAAGUUAAAAGAUAUACUACAGACUGGGAUAAAUAUUUGCAAUGUAUGUGAUAGACAAAGAGUAACCAGAAUAUAUAAAGAAAUCUUAUAAAUCAAAAAGAGAAAGAAAAACUCCAUGGAAAACUGGGCAGUGGACGUUGACAGGCAGGUCAUGUAAGAGAAAACUCAAAUAGCCAAGAUGCUUAUCCCCAAUAAUACUCAGAAAAACGCAGAGUGAAGUAACAAUAGCACAUCUUUUCACUCCUCAGGUUGGCAAGUGUCUUAAAGUCUACAUCAAAUAUCGGUGAGGGCGUGAAGCAAUGGGGUCUCUUGAACACUGAAGACAGAAACAGGCACCAGCACCAUCAUUUUGGGGAGAAAUUUGGCAUGAUCUUGUCAAGUUGAAGUGGUGUGUAUCUUUCUGAAUGAUUUAGUGAUUCUAUCCCUACAUAGGGUCCAAAGAGAAACUUGGGCACAUGUGCUCAAAUUGGUGACAUGUUCAAAAAUGUUCACUGCAAAUAUUCACCUAGUUGGGCAGGUGUGGCAGCUCACACCUGUAAUCCCCACACUUUGGGAGGCUGAGGUGGGAGGAUUGCUUGAGCCCAGGAGCUGAGACCAGCCUGCGCAAUAAGGCAAGACCCUGUCUGCAGAAAAAUAAAAAAAAUUAGCCAGGCAUGGUAGCACACCUGUAGUCCCAGCUACUUGGGAGGCUGGGGCAGGAGGAGUGCUUGAGCUUGGGAGGUCGAGGCUGCAGUAAGCCAU
This 1456-nucleotide long non-coding RNA is filed under the name Homo sapiens (human). Its description in RNAcentral is "HSALNT0194858". Lineage: Eukaryota; Metazoa; Chordata; Mammalia; Primates; Hominidae. The record is from RNAcentral.